Oryzias sinensis (Chinese medaka) is the source of this 2706-nucleotide long non-coding RNA. NCBI's taxonomy places the organism in Eukaryota, Metazoa, Chordata, Actinopteri, Beloniformes, Adrianichthyidae. The record is from Ensembl.
GUAACUUUCAGGCAGGGCCAGUAAGUUUCAAAAACUACUGGCCCUGUGGGCCAGUGCAAAUUUCUGGGCUAUGUCAACCCCUGCUUUAAGGCUUUGAAAAACAUUCUGGCUGUCAUUUCAUCAGCAGGAGUCAACAGGUGAAUAUCAAUAUGACAGUAAUUUAGGAGUGGCAGACUUGCAGAAACAAACUGCUUUUUAAUUAAUAGAUUUUUGAUUAAAAUAAACAUUUGUUACAACAAUGAGGCACAAUAACGGUAAAAGAGGCUUCAAUCAAAGUUUAUCAGGCUUUUAUAUAGAGACGGGUGAACAGAGUUUAGUUUCAAGUUUUCAACUUACUCUAAGAUGGUGCAGACAGAGCAGCAUACGCUGCAGCAGGUGGAGCACUGUCGGACACAGGAUGAACACGCCAGUCGAUCACACUGAGAACACGGCGUCCUGGGCUCACCUUUAGCAGCACUCGCCCUCGUUAGUCUCCCGUCGUGGCUAAUCAGCAUCUGUCCUCUCAGAAGAGUUUUGCUGCAUGCAGGUGAAUCCGUUUGUGCAGAGGGCUGCGGAGCUGCACUCUUCUCUUCCCCGGUCCAUAUUGUACUGAUCACAGCUUUGGCACCGUUGAAAAGCAAGUUCUUCGUUUUUUCUGUGUGAAACACAGACACAAACAGCCAAGCCGGGUCAUUACCUCAGGGUAAUCCUUGACCCGGUUUUAUCCCUCGACUGUCAUGUCGGGUCACUUGUUCGCUCUUGUUCUUGUCAUCUUAAAAAUUUUGCAAAAUUGAGUCCAAUUGAGUUGCGUUCUGAGAUGGAGAUGCUCAUCAACGCUUUUAUAUCAUCUCGUCUUGAUUACUGCAACUCCACCUUCACAUGCUCGAGCAAAAAAUCUUUAGAACGGCUCCAGGUUGUCCAGAACGCUGCUGUAAGGCUUUAACCAAACCAUUCCAAGUUUUCACACGUCACCCCGUUAUUAAUCCAGCUGCACUGGCUCCCCAUCCACUACCCAGUGCAUUUUAAAAUCCUGGUUUUAACAUACACAGCUCUUAAUAGCCAAGUACCGGUCUAUACAUAAAAGACCUUUUGCAGCUGUACACCCCAGCAGGUCCCUGAGGUCUGAGCCUUUGCAGCAGUGGCUCCAUCGAUGUGGAACUCCCUUCCUCUCAGCCUCAGAUCUGCAGACUCAGGGUUUUCUUUAAAAAGCAGCUAAAAUUGCUUUUUCUUAAUUAUUUUUAGAUUCUGUUUUUUACUGUGAAGUACUUUGUGAUUUUUAUCUUGAAAGGUGCUAUACAAAUAAAGUUUAUCAUUAUUAUGAUUCAUUCAUGUGAUAGUUUAACAGUAUUCGUAGUCCGGUUCGGAUCAGUCAGAUUCUUUUCAAGUAACAAAAUCAAGUGCACAUAAUUGAUUAUCUUCAGAAAAAAGUGAUGAUUUCAGUAAACAGUAGAAGUUACUAACCUGAAGCUAACCUAACUAUAAUGCGAAUUUUGAAUAACAAGUUUACUAAAAUAAAAAGAAAACAAAACAAUGAAAACAUUGAAAAAAUGAAUACUAAAAGAGAAGCUUUAAAGACGAGUAGUUAAGUAACUAAGUAAGUGCGUCAAGCACAACGAAAAGCUAAUUUUAGCUAGCUGUGCAAAAUAGUGUCCUCGCGUGUACUUACCGUAUAUCUCUUGUCUAUACUUGCUGCCAAACACUCCAUAGUUGUUCAGUUCCUGCUGUCUGACAUGUAUCUUAUAUUGAGAAGAAAAGACUUCGGGGAAAGGACAAGUUCGUUUAGGCAUAUCGGCCGCUAACCGUGCAUAGCAUGUGCUGCUACGCAGAUACUUUCACACUUGUUUGUUGCGGGAAAAUUAGAGGGUGCCAGGAAAGCGGCCAAUCAUAGACGCGCAAAUGUGUCACGUGGUAAGUAUAACCAAUCAGACAACUACAGGAGAAAUUACUGCCGUGACGCAGCCUAGUUCUGUUGGCAACGUGUGUUUUUGUUUCUUGUAAUAAAAUAUUGAAUACAAAAUAGUUAGAAGAAUGGAAUAAGUCUAUAUUUAAAGCAAAAUAGUUUUUUUUAUUUCCCAAAACAAGGAGUCAACACAAUUUCAUGAUAACAGACAUUUAUUAUCUGCUUUAACAGGUUGAAUCCUUCCUUUUGCCAAGAUGUGUCCUGAUUCAGAACAUUUGGAUCAUGCACUCCCUUGAUUUCCCAACACCGACCCAUUUGACUAAGGAAAAAAAACAGAGGAAAAGGUUAGAUGCAAACAUGGCUUCCUCCUACUUCUUUUCAAGCAAUUAUUAACCCCAUUUUGAUUUAAUAUAAAAUGGUUUAAAUGUGUCAUAUAUAAGUGCAAUAUGUAAGUUAUCCUAUGUUUGCCAUAUGUAUACAUAGAUAUAGAUUUCGGUUGUUUGUCUUCUUUAGUUUUAAUUUUCCAUAUCCAAGCUCUAGAAGUCAGUGGUAAAUUCCUCUAAAUAAAAGGGAACAGUCUGUGUCAUACAUACUGGGAACUCCAAUAUGGUUUUCAAUGAAGCGAAUGUAGUUUUGGGCUUUGGCUGGGAGGUCAUUCCACUUCCUGGCUGCAGAUGUGUCUGUCUUCCAACCAGGGAAAGUCUCAUACUCAACCUCCACUUUGUGCAAAACAUCCAUGUUGGCUGUUUUUACAAUAAAUAAAAGAAAAAAUGAAAAAUGUGUUAUUUCAGAUAAUAUAUUCACUCAUUAUAUUAAAAAGAAAUGUA